RNAcentral lists this ribosomal RNA (519 nucleotides) under Triticum aestivum (bread wheat). Its description in RNAcentral is "partial small subunit ribosomal RNA". Lineage: Eukaryota; Viridiplantae; Streptophyta; Magnoliopsida; Poales; Poaceae. The record is from RNAcentral.
AUGGAGGACUGCUAUGCUUGGCACUACGAGAAAUCAGGUGUCUUCACGGUUAGGAGCGCCUACAAGCUCGCCGAUUCUCUCAAGAGAAAUGGUACGGAGAUAGCAACAAGCUCCUCAAGAGAUCCGGGCGACCGGAGCAUAUGGGAUGCAAUUUGGAAAGCGGAGAUACCAGAGAAGAUAAAGGUCUUCGGAUGGAGAGUAGCCACAAAUUCGCUCGCUACCAAACACAAUGCUUGCAGAAGGACACUAGCUGAUGACAACGUAUGUGAAAUAUGCGGUAGAGGUACUGAAGAUGAGUACCAUGCCGUUAUCGCAUGUACGAGGAGUGCUGCUCUUCGCCACUCCAUGAGGGCCAUCUGGGACAUUCCUAGGGAAUCUGAACUCAAAUACUCUGGUGUGGAUUGGCUACAACUGAUGCUACUGGGACAGCAUAAGGAGGUCAGAACUAAGUUGAUGUUAAUCAUGUGGCAGGCUUGGAACCUAAGAAACAAUGUGGUCCAUGGUGAUGGAAAACAAACG